This 73-nucleotide transfer RNA is filed under the name Streptomyces sp. NBRC 110611. It matches the Rfam family "tRNA". From Rfam's summary of the family: Transfer RNA (tRNA) molecules are approximately 80 nucleotides in length. The record is from Rfam by way of RNAcentral. Lineage: Bacteria; Bacillati; Actinomycetota; Actinomycetes; Kitasatosporales; Streptomycetaceae.
GCCCCCGUAGCUCAGUGGAUAGCGCAGGCGCCUUCUAAGUGCUUGGCCGCAGGUUCGAGUCCUGCCGGAGGAA